GGGUGCGAUCAUACCAGCACUAAUGCACCGGAUCCCAUCAGAACUCCGAAGUUAAACGUGCUUUUGCGGGAGUAGUACUAAGAUGGGUGACCUCUUGGGAAGUCCUCGUGUUGCACCCC
This is a non-coding RNA of Ricinus communis (castor bean), 119 nucleotides long. NCBI's taxonomy places the organism in Eukaryota, Viridiplantae, Streptophyta, Magnoliopsida, Malpighiales, Euphorbiaceae. The record is from Rfam.